UUUAGUUGGUGUUGCCUUGAAAGGAAGGCAAAUGUGAGCAGGAAGAUGAGGCGGGAGGCGUCCUAUGUAGAGUUCCUUCUUGUUGCGAAUUGGAAGCUCGUCGGUGAGAAUCCCUCAUUUUUGGUCAUGAUAUUGUAGAUCCGGACUUCUCUUCAUCCAUCUCCAACCACUAGCAUGAUUUAGGUUUGUGUCUUGCUUUACUUGUUGAUGCAUAAUUACAUAUUGUACUUUAUUUUCCCAUGGUAGGUUCGGCUAAGAUUGUCGGUUGUGCUUAUAUACAGAAAAGGAUCCAAGGAUUCACAGAAGUUGAUGCGAUCUCAAAUGAAUUUAGAGUUUCAAAGUUUGAGAUUCUAGGAUGGAAAAAGAUAUAGUGAGUGAAGUUAACCACUCAGUCCAAUCUGGUGCUACAUUUAUAUUUGACUAUGGUUUGUUCUACUGGAAUUAGAGACUGAGCAUGAACCUAUCAGAUUUGAUUUUCGUUUUCAAGAGAAGGAGAUGUUAUCUAUGACAUAUUUGUUGGUAUUGGCUGAAUUUCUACCGCAGUUAUACAAAAAGUAUCUGUUGUAUAUGCAAAUGAACAAACACUGUUUAUUAUCCAAGGACAAAUGCAAAAAUCGAAUGUGUGCAAGUGUUGUUUUGGAUUAUAUGCACAUGUUCAUAUCUGAUUUCGCAUAGGAUUUGAGAACACUAUAUGUAAAAGACGACACAUUUUCCUUCAGAAAGAAAUGGGUAGAUUUUGCAUUUAAAGUUUGUGAAUCGUUAUGGAGGGCGCUCAAUAUGUGUUAUAGAAGAUGCUGAUACGAUGACUCUCACACAGUUG
RNAcentral lists this long non-coding RNA (820 nucleotides) under Hordeum vulgare. RNAcentral's name for it is "long non-coding RNA (HVUL_LNC004590)". Lineage: Eukaryota; Viridiplantae; Streptophyta; Magnoliopsida; Poales; Poaceae. The record is from RNAcentral.